AGAGUUUGAUCAUGGCUCAGAUUGAACGCUGGCGGAAUGCUUUACACAUGCAAGUCGAACGGCAGCACGGGUGCUUGCACCUGGUGGCGAGUGGCGAACGGGUGAGUAAUGCGUCGGAACGUACCGAGUAAUGGGGGAUAACGCGGCGAAAGUCGCGCUAAUACCGCAUACGCCCUGAGGGGGAAAGUGGGGGAUCGCAAGACCUCACGUUAUUCCAGCGGCCGACGUCUGAUUAGCUAGUUGGUGGGGUAAUGGCCUACCAAGGCGACGAUCAGUAGCGGGUCUGAGAGGAUGAUCCGCCACACUGGGACUGAGACACGGCCCAGACUCCUACGGGAGGCAGCAGUGGGGAAUUUUGGACAAUGGGGGCAACCCUGAUCCAGCCAUUCCGCGUGAGUGAAGAAGGCCUUCGGGUUGUAAAGCUCUUUCAGCUGGAACGAAACGGUACAGGUUAAUACCCUGUGCUAAUGACGGUACCGGCAGAAGAAGCACCGGCUAACUACGUGCCAGCAGCCGCGGUAAUACGUAGGGUGCGAGCGUUAAUCGGAAUUACUGGGCGUAAAGCGUGCGCAGGCGGAUUGUUAAGCAAGAUGUGAAAUCCCCGGGCUUAACCUGGGAAUGGCAUUUUGAACUGGCCGUCGUUUUAC
RNAcentral lists this ribosomal RNA (647 nucleotides) under uncultured bacterium. Its description in RNAcentral is "bacterial SSU rRNA". It matches the Rfam family "Bacterial small subunit ribosomal RNA", at positions 8 to 648 of the family's 1533-position model. The record is from RNAcentral.